AGAACGAACGCUGGCGGCAUGCCUAAUACAUGCAAGUCGAACGAACACUUCGGUGUUAGUGGCGCACGGGUGCGUAACGCGUGGGAAUCUGCCCUUGGGUUCGGAAUAACAGUUGGAAACGACUGCUAAUACCGGAUGAUAUCGAAAGAUCAAAGAUUUAUCGCCCAGGGAUGAGCCCGCGUAGGAUUAGCUAGUUGGUGAGGUAAAGGCUCACCAAGGCGACGAUCCUUAGCUGGUCUGAGAGGAUGAUCAGCCACGACUGGGACUGAGACGACGGCCCAGACUCCGUACGGGAG
This 296-nucleotide ribosomal RNA is filed under the name uncultured soil bacterium. Its description in RNAcentral is "partial 16S ribosomal RNA". It matches the Rfam family "Bacterial small subunit ribosomal RNA", at positions 26 to 347 of the family's 1533-position model. The record is from RNAcentral.